UGAGUAACACGUGGGUAACCUGCCUGUAAGACUGGGAUAACUCCGGGAAACCGGGGCUAAUACCGGAUGGUUGUUUGAACCGCAUGGUUCAAACAUAAAAGGUGGCUUCGGCUACCACUUACAGAUGGACCCGCGGCGCAUUAGCUAGUUGGUGAGGUAACGGCUCACCAAGGCAACGAUGCGUAGCCGACCUGAGAGGGUGAUCGGCCACACUGGGACUGAGACACGGCCCAGACUCCUACGGGAGGCAGCAGUAGGGAAUCUUCCGCAAUGGACGAAAGUCUGACGGAGCAACGCCGCGUGAGUGAUGAAGGUUUUCGGAUCGUAAAGCUCUGUUGUUAGGGAAGAACAAGUACCGUUCGAAUAGGGCGGUACCUUGACGGUACCUAACCAGAAAGCCACGGCUAACUACGUGCCAGCAGCCGCGGUAAUACGUAGGUGGCAAGCGUUGUCCGGAAUUAUUGGGCGUAAAGGGCUCGCAGGCGGUUUCUUAAGUCUGAUGUGAAAGCCCCCGGCUCAACCGGGGAGGGUCAUUGGAAACUGGGGAACUUGAGUGCAGAAGAGGAGAGUGGAAUUCCACGUGUAGCGGUGAAAUGCGUAGAGAUGUGGAGGAACACCAGUGGCGAAAGGCGACUCUCUGGUCUGUAACUUGACGCUGAGGAGC
This 664-nucleotide ribosomal RNA is filed under the name Bacillus subtilis. RNAcentral's name for it is "bacterial SSU rRNA". It matches the Rfam family "Bacterial small subunit ribosomal RNA", at positions 107 to 754 of the family's 1533-position model. Lineage: Bacteria; Bacillati; Bacillota; Bacilli; Caryophanales; Bacillaceae. The record is from RNAcentral.